UACAGAGGUCCCGAGCGUUGUUCGGAUUCACUGGGCGUAAAGGGUGCGUAGGUGGUGAGGUAAGUCGGAUGUGAAAUCUCCGGGCUCAACCCGGAAAUGGCAUUGGAAACUACCUUGCUGGAGGAUUUGAGGGGGGAUUGGAAUACUUGGUGUAGCAGUGAAAUGCGUAGAUAUCAAGUGGAACACCAGUGGCGAAGGCGAAUCCCUGGAAAAUACCUGACACUGAGGCACGAAAGCUAGGGGGGCAAACAGG
Molecule: ribosomal RNA, 253 nt
Filed under: uncultured bacterium
Lineage: Bacteria
Description: partial 16S ribosomal RNA
Rfam family: Bacterial small subunit ribosomal RNA
Source: RNAcentral